Molecule: ribosomal RNA, 441 nt
Filed under: uncultured bacterium
Lineage: Bacteria
Description: partial 16S ribosomal RNA
Rfam family: Bacterial small subunit ribosomal RNA
Source: RNAcentral
CCUACGGGAGGCAGCAGUGGGGAAUAUUGCACAAUGGGGGGAACCCUGAUGCAGCGACGCCGCGUGGGUGAAGGCGUAUUUCGGUAUGUAAAGCCCUAUCAGCAGGGAAGAAAAAUGACGGUACCUGACUCAGAAGCACCGGCUAAAUACGUGACAGCAGCCGCGGUAAUACGUAGGGUGCAAGCGUUAUCCGGAGUUACUGGGUGUAAAGGGAGCGCAGGCGGCGCGUUAAGCCUGGUGUGAAAGCCCGCGGCCCAACCGCGGGACUGCAUUGGAAACUGGCGCGCUGGAGUGCCGGAGGAGUAGGCGGAAUGCGUAGUGUAGCGGUGAAAUGCGUAGAGAGUAGGAGGAACACCAGUGGCGAAGGCGGCCUACUGGAGGGUGACUGACGCUGAGGCUCGAAAGCGUGGGGAGCAAACAGGAUUAGAUACCCUUGUAGUC